This 75-nucleotide transfer RNA is filed under the name Fuscovulum blasticum DSM 2131. RNAcentral's name for it is "Rhodobacter blasticus DSM 2131 tRNA-Met". It matches the Rfam family "tRNA". Rfam says of the family: Transfer RNA (tRNA) molecules are approximately 80 nucleotides in length. Their secondary structure includes four short double-helical elements and three loops (D, anti-codon, and T loops). Lineage: Bacteria; Pseudomonadati; Pseudomonadota; Alphaproteobacteria; Rhodobacterales; Paracoccaceae. The record is from RNAcentral.
UGCGGGGUAGCGCAGCGGUAGAGCAUCGGCCUCAUAACCUGAAGGCCGCAGGUUCAAAUCCUGCCCCCGCAACCA